GCUGGGCAUGGUGGUGCAUGCCUGUAAUCCCGGUGGCUCUGGAGGCUGAGGCAGGAGGAUCACAAAUUCAAAGCCAGCCUCGGAAUUUAGUGAGAUCCUGUCUCAA
Molecule: small RNA, 106 nt
Filed under: Marmota monax (woodchuck)
Lineage: Eukaryota; Metazoa; Chordata; Mammalia; Rodentia; Sciuridae
Source: RNAcentral